Molecule: ribosomal RNA, 253 nt
Filed under: uncultured bacterium
Lineage: Bacteria
Description: partial 16S ribosomal RNA
Rfam family: Bacterial small subunit ribosomal RNA
Source: RNAcentral
UACGUAGGGUGCGAGCGUUAAUCGGAAUUACUGGGCGUAAAGUGUGCGCAGGCGGCAGAGCAAGUCGAGUGUGAAAGCCCCGGGCUUAACUUGGGAAUUGCGCUCGAAACUACUUUGCUGGAGUGUGGCAGAGGAAGGUGGAAUUCCACGUGUAGCGGUGAAAUGCGUAGAGAUGUGGAGGAACACCUGUGGCGAAGGCGGCCGACUGGGCCGACCCUGACGCUGAGGCGCGAAGGCGUGGGGAGCGAACGGG